UAGAGGUGGGCUAGAACUAUUAGAGUCCAUUUUUAAUAAUUAAAUAAUAGUAUUUCAAUUGAAUUAUUUAAUUAAAAUGAGAAAAUAGAAUAAUAGGAAAUAAGGAGUAUUAGUAGUAGUUUUAUUAAAACAAAAUUGGAGAUGGUAAGCGCAUGGUGGUAAAUAAUAGAGUAAGUGAGGGUAUUAUUAUAAGUCUUUAAUUGAGGGAUUAUGUUACUAAUAAAAAGGUUAGUAAGGAGUUUUGAGAGUUUUGGAUACAUAAAAUCAGAAUUUGGUGGAAAGUGAAAGAGGCAAGGACUAGGGCAUAUGAAGAGCAUCCGUUGAAAGAGCUUGGAAGAAUUUUUGCUGGCAUGUUCCAA
RNAcentral lists this long non-coding RNA (359 nucleotides) under Lathyrus oleraceus (garden pea). RNAcentral describes it as "Pisum sativum (pea) long non-coding RNA (PSAT_LNC023660)". The record is from RNAcentral. Lineage: Eukaryota; Viridiplantae; Streptophyta; Magnoliopsida; Fabales; Fabaceae.